RNAcentral lists this long non-coding RNA (682 nucleotides) under Cricetulus griseus (Chinese hamster). Its description in RNAcentral is "lncRNA (ENSCGRG00000024711.1)". Lineage: Eukaryota; Metazoa; Chordata; Mammalia; Rodentia; Cricetidae. The record is from RNAcentral.
AUGAAGCAGUUGAAGGACCACGAAGCCUGUGAGACAUCGUCACUAAUUGGACAUAGUGCCAGAGUGUACGCACUUUACUACAGAGAUGGACUUCUCUGCACAGUGUUCAGUGUGGACUACAGUGAUGAACUGGAUAUUUUGGUGAGUGGUCCUUCGGACUUUGCUGUGAAAGCUUUAUCUGCUAGCACAUGUCUGAACACACUCACUGGGCAUACUGAAUGGGUCACCAAGGUGGUUUUGCAGAAGUGCAAGGUGAAGACUCUCUUGCACAGCCCUGGAGACUUCAUCCUCUUAAGUACGGAUAAAUAUGAGAUCAAGAUUUGGCCAACUGGAAGAGAAAUCAACACUAAGUGCCUUGUCCGUUUCUGAGGAUAGAAGCAUCUGCCCGGAGCCAAGACUUCAUUUUGAUGGAAAAUACAUUGUCUGUAGUUCAGCACUUGGUCUGUACCAGUGAGACUUUUGCCAGUUUUGAGAUUCUCAGGAUUCAAAACCUUUUUCUCUAAAAUGAGAGAUGAAGAUGAGAAGACCUUUCUUUCUAACCUACUUUAGGUCUAAUAUCUUAUGUUCGACUUCAUUGUCAGUUGAACUUAUGCAUUAUUAUUUGGUCCCGACUCCCCAUGGAGUCUAGGCAGUAAGUGGCCUUUUGUUGACUAGUGACUAGUUAAACAAUAAUUCAUAUCCA